CAGCCGCCGCGGUAAUACGGAGGGUGCAAGCGUUAUCCGGAUUUAUUGGGUUUAAAGGGUCCGUAGGCGGAUCUGUAAGUCAGUGGUGAAAUCUCACAGCUUAACUGUGAAACUGCCAUUGAUACUGCAGGUCUUGAGUAAAUUUGAAGUGGCUGGAAUAAGUAGUGUAGCGGUGAAAUGCAUAGAUAUUACUUAGAACACCAAUUGCGAAGGCAGGUCACUAAGAUUUAACUGACGCUGAUGGACGAAAGCGUGGGGAGCGAACAGGAUUAGAUACCCCUGUAGUCCCUGUCUCUUAUAC
RNAcentral lists this ribosomal RNA (301 nucleotides) under uncultured bacterium. RNAcentral describes it as "partial 16S ribosomal RNA". It matches the Rfam family "Bacterial small subunit ribosomal RNA", at positions 509 to 807 of the family's 1533-position model. The record is from RNAcentral.